This 73-nucleotide transfer RNA is filed under the name Ictidomys tridecemlineatus (thirteen-lined ground squirrel). RNAcentral's name for it is "Spermophilus tridecemlineatus (thirteen-lined ground squirrel) tRNA". It matches the Rfam family "tRNA". From Rfam's summary of the family: Transfer RNA (tRNA) molecules are approximately 80 nucleotides in length. Lineage: Eukaryota; Metazoa; Chordata; Mammalia; Rodentia; Sciuridae. RNAcentral also lists the same sequence under 1 other name. The record is from Rfam by way of RNAcentral.
GGGGAAAUAGCUCAGUUGGUAGAGUGCUUGCCUCUCAUAUAUAAGGCCCUGGGUUCAAUCCCCAGUGCCACCC